GCGGAGGACGGCGCGCGGAGCCUUCUGGGAGGCGCAGUUCCCGCGAGCGCGCACGCGCGCACUACGACUCCCGUGCAGAUGACGCCCUGGGUCGGGCUGUGGGGCCACCGACGUGCUGGAGGGGUUCCCCGCUGGAGCACCGGUGCCGGGCAGGGUAGGGGCGCGUAGCAUGCAUUCGAGGCCCCAAAGCAGCAAACCUGUAACGCGUUGGGAGAGAAGGAGUAAAAUUUCGACUGCCAGCGCGGUGUGGUGACGCACGCCUGCAACCCCAGCGCUCGGGAGGAGGCUGAUGGAGGAGCAUCACCGAGUUCCUCGGCACACAGCAACAACCUAUUUCCAAAGGUGUGAGCCGGAACGCAUUUUAAAAAACCAAAUCCAAGCCCGGUGUGGUUUAUCACAGCUCUCCGGAGGCUGAGGCUAGUGGGCUUCCGUGAGUCCCGCACCGUCCAGGCCCACACAGUGGGAACCUGUACAUGAAUAAAUAAAGACAUUUAUAAGAUUGA
Long non-coding RNA from Peromyscus leucopus (white-footed mouse), 503 nucleotides. RefSeq lists it as uncharacterized. The transcript has 2 exons. Lineage: Eukaryota; Metazoa; Chordata; Mammalia; Rodentia; Cricetidae. The record is from RefSeq and is a predicted model, not a curated record.